RNAcentral lists this ribosomal RNA (447 nucleotides) under uncultured bacterium. Its description in RNAcentral is "bacterial SSU rRNA". It matches the Rfam family "Bacterial small subunit ribosomal RNA", at positions 355 to 825 of the family's 1533-position model. The record is from RNAcentral.
UGGGGAAUAUUGGACAAUGGGCGCAAGCCUGAUCCAGCCAUGCCGCGUGAGUGAAGAAGGCCUUAGGGUUGUAAAACUCUUUCGCCGGGGAAGAUAAUGACGGUACCCGUGGAGGAAGCAUCGGCUAACUACGUGCCAGCAGCCGCGGUAAGACGUAGGAUGCAAGCGUUGUCCGGAUUUAUUGGGCGUAAAGAGUUCGUAGGCUGUUUGUUAAGUCUGAUGUUAAAGACUGGGGCUCAACCUCGGAAAUGCAUUGGAUACUGGCAGACUGGAGUGCAGUAGAGGCUAGUGGAAUUCCCAGUGUAGCGGUGAAAUGCGUAGAUAUUGGGAAGAACACCGGUGGCGUAGGCGACUAGCUGGGCUGUAACUGACGCUGAGGAACGAAAGCCAGGGGAGCGAAUGGGAUUAGAUACCCCGGUAGUCCCUGAGCGGGCUGGCAAGGCGCAU